UGGCAAACAACGCUGACUUACGAAAAACACCGAGUAAAACCAGAGUAAAACAGCGCAUAGCAAAAUAUUUUCCGUGCAAAAUUUAAAAGGAUUAUUUACUUUAAUCUAUGAUAUAUAUAUAAUCCAUGUGGAAUCACUUUUAUAUUUCCGCCAUCUUGUGACCUUGCUUUUUGAGGCCGAGCAAGCAGUCCAAAUUACCAAUACAAAGUUGCUAAUACUAUGCUAAAUGUUUUUUUUUAUUUAUUUUUUUUUAUUUCUGAUGCUAUGUAAUUUUUCUAUAUUAUAAAUACCGAAAAAAACUUUCCAUGCAGUCUAGCCAGUUACCACAGCUAUUACUAAUGUCGUUUUAGGGAUUAUUUAAAAAGCUAUGUAUGACUAUAUAUCUACGCCCGGAUUACUUGUGCAAGCUAUAUCAAGUGUGUUAUGUGAAGGUUUGGAAUUUACUAGGAACAGCAAGAACGCUAGGAACGAGAGCAGGAAGAACGCUAGGGACGGCAAGAACGCUAGGAACGACGAGAACAGGAAGAACGCUAGGGACGGCAAGAAUGCUAGGGACGGCAAGAACGUUAGGAACAGCAUGAUCGCUAGAGCCUGCAAGGGGCUGCUCUGAAACGUAUUGCACAACAUAACACGUAGAACGAAUAAUUAUGACGUCCAUUUGGGGACUUUCAUAUGAAACUUCAGUCGAAGGUUUGGAUUCUAGCGAAGAUAGAUUUGUCCGCCAGGGUUGCCGACUCCUUUCUUGUGAUCAGUGCGAUCUUUGCCAAAAGGGUCAUGCGUUGGGUAGGCAUAACAUGUGCAUCCAUUAAAGAAAUAGAACAAUGAGGGACCACUAAAGUAUGGUCCAUAAGGGAGCCAGUAAUUCUUUUUCGUGCCACUACAAGCUGCUGCCACGUUCUUUAUAUUCUGACAACUAGUGUUAUAGUAGUUGUCAGAAUAUAAAAAAACGUGGCGGUAGUAUCUCCACUUCCCCUUCUGACCAGAUUUCCUCCAUUUGGUUGACAAACAAUCCAAUCAUUGAUGUUUCAUUUGAUCAUGAACUCAAUGUGCUUCCAAAGAUUCCAGUCUACUGCUCCAAGAGCUGACUCGCUGAGUGGAGGAGUGUUUGAGAUUGGGACAUUGGCGUGACUGUCAGGGCAGUUUGGACCUCGGUUUGGACGGGGGGUUACGGCAUCGGUUCCUGAAUCAGAAUUGUUGUAAUUUGUGAAGCCAAAGGUGUAGCUGUAAAUUUGUAAAGAUGUAGCUAAUAAAUCACCACCCAUAUUGAAUGAAGACAUUAAUUUUAAAUCUGAUGAUUUUGCUG
Non-coding RNA from Paramuricea clavata, 1303 nucleotides. Lineage: Eukaryota; Metazoa; Cnidaria; Anthozoa; Malacalcyonacea; Plexauridae. The record is from the annotation of a GenBank genome assembly.